CCUACGGGUGGCAGCAGUGAGGAAUAUUGGUCAAUGGACGAGAGUCUGAACCAGCCAAGUAGCGUGAAGGAUGACUGCCCUAUGGGUUGUAAACUUCUUUUAUAUGGGAAUAAAAUGUUCCACGUGUGGGAUUUUGUAUGUACCAUAUGAAUAAGGAUGGGCUAACUCCGUGCCAGCAGCCGCGGUAAUACGGAGGAUCCGAGCGUUAUCCGGCUUUAUUGGGUUUAAAGGGAGCGUAGGUGGAUUGUUAAGUCAGUUGUGAAAGUUUGCGGCUCAACCGUAAAAUUGCAGUUGAAACUGGCAGUCUUGAGUACAGUAGAGGUGGGCGGAAUUCGUGGUGUAGCGGUGAAAUGCUUAGAUAUCACGAAGAACUCCGAUUGCGAAGGCAGUUCACUGGACUGCAACUGACACUGAGGCUCGAAAGUGUGGGUAUCAAACAGGAUUAGAUACCCCAGUAGUC
Molecule: ribosomal RNA, 460 nt
Filed under: uncultured bacterium
Lineage: Bacteria
Description: partial 16S ribosomal RNA
Rfam family: Bacterial small subunit ribosomal RNA
Source: RNAcentral